CUUCCAAAUAGUUUCGGUUGGGCUGAGGACACGUUGUUGUCACGGUGGAUACUUCUCUAGCGUCUUUCAAGUGGGAUUUUAACAAACGACGAGCUUCAUUUCACCUGGACACGUUCCCGGCUCUUGGACAGAUGCUGCAUGAUUAAAAUUUGGCUGAUGGUUGUUUGCUCCAAUGUAAGUUUCAAGGCCACCCCAGACCUCAAAGCUUCUUUCCUUUCUUCUGAGAGGGUUGCAGGUGAGCUGGAGGCUCUCUCACCUGACUUCACGCACGAGCCGGGGUACACCCUAAACUGGUCACCUGUCAUUCAUUGGGACAUAUAGUCAAGCAACUUUUGUAUGUAUUCGGUAUUUUAGUCAUUGUACAGUUUGCACAUACGUCUGAUGGAGCCAGAACUUUUCCUACAUUGCAGGAAUUUUCAUUCAGUCAUCAUUAAGCUUAUUCUUUGCCAGGUGCGGCCUCAAAAAGCCAAUAAAAAAGUAAAAUGCAAGUAGGGGUGUGCUAAAAAAAAAAAUCAACACGGGAAGAUAUGGUUGUGGGCUUCUAUACGA
This is a long non-coding RNA of Hippocampus comes (tiger tail seahorse), 549 nucleotides long. RefSeq lists it as uncharacterized. Lineage: Eukaryota; Metazoa; Chordata; Actinopteri; Syngnathiformes; Syngnathidae. The record is from RefSeq and is a predicted model, not a curated record. The transcript is spliced from 3 exons.